CGAAAGCCUGACGGAGCAAGACCGCGUGGGGGAGGAAUGCCUUAGGGUUGUAAACCCCUUUUAUCUGGGAAGAACAAAAUGACGGUACCAGAUGAAUAAGCCUCGGCUAACUCCGUGCCAGCAGCCGCGGUAAUACGGAGGAGGCAAGCGUUAUCCGGAAUGAUUGGGCGUAAAGAGUCCGUAGGUGGUUCAUCAAGUCUGCUGUUAAAGCGUGCAGCUCAACUGCAUAUAGGCAGUGGAAACUGUUGAACUAGAGUAUGGUAGGGGUAGGGGGAAUUCCCAGUGUAGCGGUGAAAUGCGUAGAGAUUGGGAAGAACACCGGUGGCGAAAGCGCUCUACUGGGCCACAACUGACGCUGAGGGACGAAAGCUAGGGGAGCG
This 380-nucleotide ribosomal RNA is filed under the name uncultured cyanobacterium. Its description in RNAcentral is "bacterial SSU rRNA". It matches the Rfam family "Bacterial small subunit ribosomal RNA", at positions 376 to 770 of the family's 1533-position model. The record is from RNAcentral. Lineage: Bacteria; Bacillati; Cyanobacteriota.